UACGUAGGGUGCAAGCGUUGUCCGGAAUUAUUGGGCGUAAAGAGCUCGUAGGCGGUCUGUCGCGUCGGCUGUGAAAACUCGGGGCUCAACCCCGAGCCUGCAGUCGAUACGGGCAGACUAGAGUGCUGUAGGGGAGACUGGAAUUCCUGGUGUAGCGGUGAAAUGCGCAGAUAUCAGGAAGAACACCCGUGGCUAAGGCGGCUCUCUAGUACGGUACUGACGCUGAGACGCGAAAGCGUGGGGAGCGAACAGG
RNAcentral lists this ribosomal RNA (253 nucleotides) under uncultured bacterium. RNAcentral describes it as "partial 16S ribosomal RNA". It matches the Rfam family "Bacterial small subunit ribosomal RNA", at positions 524 to 776 of the family's 1533-position model. The record is from RNAcentral.